UUUAUACAUUUUCUACAGAAAAUGCACCCCAUCAUUGCCUAUAGCCCACCCACGUGGACUGCCCAUUCUGUGAAUCAUGUUUUACAGAUUUGUUUAUGCGGCAUUCCUCAUUUGAAUAAAGCAGAACCAAAUGUCUUGGUUUGAAGAUUGAGAUGAAAUGGAAGGGCCACAAAUAGUAAUUUAUCUUUGAGCAUCGUAUAGAUACACAUGUAACCUGAUACUAAACAAAAGUAAACGCUCAUGGACUGUCAGUGAUGUGGUGGGAUAUGCCAGAGGGAAGUGAUUUGUGAACUCACUGGAGAGAGACUUCUACUAGAAAAAUUGCCUUGACGUUAGGAAUUAAAAAAACAAAACAAAACAAAACAAAAAACAUGAAGCUGUAUUCUCCAGAAGCUUCUGAUUUAAGGAGAUAGGUAAGUACAAUUUCAACAUAAUGCAUUAAGUGCUAUGAGAGUAGUAUGAUGGUGAUAAGUGCUAUACAAGACAAGGGUUCUAGGUUAAUUGCUUUGAGAAAAUUGCCACCCUUUAACAAGGUUAAACUGGAUUCUUUAAUGUAGACCUUAUUGAGAGUUUCUAAUAUGUCACUGUGCUUUGUGAAUCUUCAUGUGUGUAGAGUAGACAUCCAGUCUGCCAAGUUCCGCAAACUCAUCUGACAACAGAACUCUUUUUCAAUGGAAUAUCUCAAGGCAUUUGUGCUCCAUGAGACAUAAGAUGAGAAGGGCUGACACAAGAUUCUCACCUAGUGAAAAAAAAUAUGUAUUUAUAUUUUUAAAAACUGGUUGGAUGGGGGCUUUCUCCCAAUACAUAAAUGACUUUGAAGUUUUUUUUUUUUCAGUCCUAUGACAGAGUAAAUAUACAGACUUAAAAGGAUUUACCAUGAAGAUUUUAAUGACUGCUGGGCUGAUUAUUAAGCCUGAUCUCAGUGAAAUGGAAUGCCUUUAGUUAUUUUCAUUUAUGGACUGUUUAACGAUUUUUCUCCAAAAGAAAUAUUUAAUGAACACAAUAUUGAGUUCCUCCCAGUGCUUCUAAUUAACAGACCACUGAACGAUCUUUGUUAAAGGAAAGGCUAGCUUCAGGCCAGAAGGCGUUGCAGGAUCUAAUAUGUAUGCUACCAUGGGUGACCAAGCAUAAAGAUAAACUAAGGAUUUGAAUAUAUAAGGGCUAAUGUUUGUGUCCAUUGUUAUGGAAUUUCUGACAAUCACUCUGUAGUCUUUCCUAAUAUUUGGCCUUUAGGAAAAGUGUUUUGGACUGAAUUGUUCUCUCUCCUCAUUAUCCUCCUUAAUGUGUGAAAGUCUCAGUGUAACUGUUGAUUACCUGAUCUCUAUUUCAUAAAGAGGAAAAACAGAUCCAGAGGACCAUUUCAUGAUUCAUCCUUUUUCAAAAUGUUUCUUAAAACAUUAAAGUUUUAUUAUUGUAAACUGUU
RNAcentral lists this non-coding RNA (1423 nucleotides) under Pongo abelii (Sumatran orangutan). The record is from RNAcentral. Lineage: Eukaryota; Metazoa; Chordata; Mammalia; Primates; Hominidae.